This 1488-nucleotide ribosomal RNA is filed under the name metagenome. RNAcentral's name for it is "bacterial SSU rRNA". It matches the Rfam family "Bacterial small subunit ribosomal RNA". The record is from RNAcentral.
UUUGAUCCUGGCUCAGAUUGAACGCUGGCGGCAUGCCUUACACAUGCAAGUCGAACGGCAGCGCGGGAGCAAUCCUGGCGGCGAGUGGCGAACGGGUGAGUAAUACAUCGGAACGUGCCCAAUCGUGGGGGAUAACGCAGCGAAAGCUGUGCUAAUACCGCAUACGAUCUACGGAUGAAAGCAGGGGAUCGCAAGACCUUGCGCGAAUGGAGCGGCCGAUGGCAGAUUAGGUAGUUGGUGAGGUAAAGGCUCACCAAGCCUUCGAUCUGUAGCUGGUCUGAGAGGACGACCAGCCACACUGGGACUGAGACACGGCCCAGACUCCUACGGGAGGCAGCAGUGGGGAAUUUUGGGCAAUGGGCGAAAGCCUGAUCCAGCCAUGCCGCGUGCAGGAUGAAGGCCUUCGGGUUGUAAACUGCUUUUGUACGGAACGAAACAGCCUUUUCUAAUAAAGGGGGCUAAUGACGGUACCGUAAGAAUAAGCACCGGCUAACUACGUGCCAGCAGCCGCGGUAAUACGUAGGGUGCAAGCGUUAAUCGGAAUUACUGGGCGUAAAGCGUGCGCAGGCGGUUAUGUAAGACAGUUGUGAAAUCCCCGGGCUCAACCUGGGAACUGCAUCUGUGACUGCAUAGCUAGAGUACGGUAGAGGGGGAUGGAAUUCCGCGUGUAGCAGUGAAAUGCGUAGAUAUGCGGAGGAACACCGAUGGCGAAGGCAAUCCCCUGGACCUGUACUGACGCUCAUGCACGAAAGCGUGGGGAGCAAACAGGAUUAGAUACCCUGGUAGUCCACGCCCUAAACGAUGUCAACUGGUUGUUGGGUCUUCACUGACUCAGUAACGAAGCUAACGCGUGAAGUUGACCGCCUGGGGAGUGCGGCCGCAAGGUUGAAACUCAAAGGAAUUGACGGGGACCCGCACAAGCGGUGGAUGAUGUGGUUUAAUUCGAUGCAACGCGAAAAACCUUACCCACCUUUGACAUGUACGGAAUUCGCCAGAGAUGGCUUAGUGCUCGAAAGAGAACCGUAACACAGGUGCUGCAUGGCUGUCGUCAGCUCGUGUCGCGAGAUGUUGGGUUAAGUCCCGCAACGAGCGCAACCCUUGUCAUUAGUUGCUACAUUUAGUUGGGCACUCUAAUGAGACUGCCGGUGACAAACCGGAGGAAGGUGGGGAUGACGUCAAGUCCUCAUGGCCCUUAUAGGUGGGGCUACACACGUCAUACAAUGGCUGGUACAAAGGGUUGCCAACCCGCGAGGGGGAGCUAAUCCCAUAAAACCAGUCGUAGUCCGGAUCGCAGUCUGCAACUCGACUGCGUGAAGUCGGAAUCGCUAGUAAUCGUGGAUCAGAAUGUCACGGUGAAUACGUUCCCGGGUCUUGUACACACCGCCCGUCACACCAUGGGAGCGGGUUCUGCCAGAAGUAGUUAGCUUAACCGAAGGAGGGCGAUUACCACGGCAGGGCUCGUGACUGGGGUGAAGUCGUAACAAGGUA